Molecule: ribosomal RNA, 497 nt
Filed under: uncultured bacterium
Lineage: Bacteria
Description: partial 16S ribosomal RNA
Rfam family: Bacterial small subunit ribosomal RNA
Source: RNAcentral
GAUGAACGCUGGCGGCGUGCCUAAUACAUGCAAGUCGAGCGAACAGACGAGGAGCUUGCUCCUCUGAUGUUAGCGGCGGACGGGUGAAUAACACGUGGAUAACCUACCUAUAAGACUGGGAUAACUUCGGGAAACCGGAGCUAAUACCGGAUAAUAUUUUGAACCGCAUGGUUCAAUAGUGAAAGACGGUUUUGCUGUCACUUAUAGAUGGAUCCGCGCUGCAUUAGCUAGUUGGUAAGGUAACGGCUUACCAAGGCAACGAUGCAUAGCCGACCUGAGAGGGUGAUCGGCCACACUGGAACUGAGACACGGUCCAGACUCCUACGGGAGGCAGCAGUAGGGAAUCUUCCGCAAUGGGCGAAAGCCUGACGGAGCAACGCCGCGUGAGUGAUGAAGGUCUUCGGAUCGUAAAACUCUGUUAUUAGGGAAGAACAAAUGUGUAAGUAACUAUGCACGUCUUGACGGUACCUAAUCAGAAAGCCACGGCUAACUACGUG